UUUGAUCCUGGCUCAGAACGAACGCUGGCGGCAGGCCUAACACAUGCAAGUCGAGCGCACUCUUCGGAGUGAGCGGCGGACGGGUUAGUAACGCGUGGGAAUAUACCCUUUUNUACGGAAUAGCCUCGGGAAACUGAGAGUAAUACCGUAUACGCCCUUCGGGGGAAAGAUUUAUCGGUGAAGGAUUAGCCCGCGUAAGAUUAGAUAGUUGGUGGGGUAAUGGCCUACCAAGUCUACGAUCUUUAGCUGGUUUGAGAGGAUGAUCAGCAACACUGGGACUGAGACACGGCCCAGACUCCUACGGGAGGCAGCAGUGGGGAAUCUUAGACAAUGGGCGCAAGCCUGAUCUAGCCAUGCCGCGUGAGUGACGAAGGCCUUAGGGUCGUAAAGCUCUUUCGCCAGAGAUGAUAAUGACAGUAUCUGGUAAAGAAACCCCGGCUAACUCCGUGCCAGCAGCCGCGGUAAUAAGGG
This 471-nucleotide ribosomal RNA is filed under the name uncultured Loktanella sp. Its description in RNAcentral is "bacterial SSU rRNA". It matches the Rfam family "Bacterial small subunit ribosomal RNA", at positions 12 to 529 of the family's 1533-position model. The record is from RNAcentral. Lineage: Bacteria; Pseudomonadati; Pseudomonadota; Alphaproteobacteria; Rhodobacterales; Roseobacteraceae.